UUUUUCUUUUUUCAUUUUUUUUAGGGCCGCACCCACAGCAUAUGGAAGUUCACGAGAUAGGGGUCGAAUUGGAGCUACGGCUGCCAGCCUACACCACAGCCACAGCAACGCAGGAUCCCAGCUGCAUCUGUGACCUACACCGCGGGUCACAGCAAUGCCGUAUCCUUAACCCACUGAGUAGGGCCACGGAUCAAACCCACAUUCUCAUGGAUAUUAGUUGGGUUCUUUACUGCUGAGCCACAACAGGAACUCCCUUUGUGGACACUUUUAAGUGGACAUUCUCUGGCUAUCUUAAAAAAAAACAAGAGAUAACAAAUGUUGAGAAUACGAACAAAAAGGAACCCCUAUGCAUUGUUAGCAGCCACUGUAUGGAAAACAGAACAGAGACACCUCAAAAAAUUAAAAAUAGAUCUACCAUAUGAUCCAGCAACUCCUCUUCUGGGUAUGUAUGCAAAGGAUACAUAUAUGUAUACAACAGGCUAGCAAAGAGAUAACCCGAACUCCCCAUGGUCACUGCGCACUAAUCACAAUGUCCAAUAUAGGAAGACAACUUAAGUAAGUAUCCAUCAACAGAUUAAUGGAUAAAGAAGGAAGAUGUGAGGUCACUCACACACAAACAUAAUGGAGUAUUAUUCAGUCAUGAAAAAGAAGGAAACCCUGCUUUUUACAACAGCGUGGCUAGACCAUGAGGCUAUGCUAAGUGAGAAGCCAAACAGAAAAAGGCAAAUACUGUAUGCCAGCACUCCUAUGUGGAAUCUAAAAAGGCCAAACUUGUAAAAACACUGAGUUGAACGGUGGUUACCAGCGGCUGGGGGUGGAGAAAUUGGGGAGAUGCUGUGUAAGGGUGCACACUUGUAACCAGUGGAAAAGUCAGUCCUACAGAUCUAAUGCAUAGUGAUUAUCGUCAAUGAUACUGUACUAUAAACUUCAAAAUUAAGGGACCAGAUCUUAAUUGUUCCCACCACAAAAAAGAAAUGAUAAUUAUGUGAUUGGAUAAAGGUCUUAGCUAAUGCUAUCGUGGUUAUCACACUGGAAUAUAUAAACAUUCAAACCAACACACUGUACACAUUAAACUUAGACAAUAUUAUCUCAAUAAUAAAAAGGUAAAGGUAAAUGGGUCUUCUCCAAGCAAUGUAUUAUCUCAAAGUAAUCUCUGAAUUAAGUUUUUACCUGAGGUCUCCAGCUAGCAGCCACACUCUCUAGCUGCAGUCAAGUCUUAAGUGACCACAGUCCUGACUGGCGCCUGUCAUGCGAGACCACGGGCCAGAACCAACUAGCUAAGCCGCUCCUGAAUUCCUGACGCAUAGCAAUUGUGAGAUGAUAAAUGUUUGUUGUUUUAAACCAAAAAAAAAAAUUUAUUAUUAUUAUUAUUAUUUUUUUUUUGGUCUCAUUAGGGCCACACCUGCAGCAUAUGGAAGUUCCCAGGCUAGGGGGUCUAAUCAGAGCGGUAGCUGCCAACCUACACCACAGCUACAGCAACACAGGAUCUGAGCCACGUCUGCAACCUACACCACUGCUCAUGGCAAUGCCGGAUCCUUAACCCAGUGAGCAAGGCCAGGGACUGAACCUGCAGCAUCAUGGAUACUAGUCAGGUUCAUUACCACUGAGCCAUGAUGGGAACUCUCCCCCCACCCCACCCCCAAUUUUUUUAAGAAAAUGCACUUAUACUGUGUACUAAUAGAAGAGACAGACUUAGGUGAGAGUUCAGGACCUUGGAGUUUCCUAGGAAUCAAAAGUGUGUGACCACAAGAGACCUGAGCCUCUGCCUUCCCCACUGGCAGCCCUUCACUCACAUGAGGCAAAUAGAAUGUCUGGACAAAAUUUCUUUCCUCCAAAUUACUCCCAACUCUGCCUAGAAUUUUUCACUCUAUCAUCAUGCUGAAACACCCACCAAGUAAAGGUCCAAGUGCACGGAUAAGAAUUUUUCAGUAAAAUAGAGAUAUACCUGGAUGGAUGAUUCACACCUUAAAAAUAUAUAUAUAUUUAUGGGGGAUCAUGUAUCAUUAUUCCCAAGUGUUUACAGCCAAUAGCUUUCAAAGCUAUUAGAGAGAUGCUAGCGAGCAGUGCAAAAAAAUUGAGCAGGUAACAGUGACUAGACAUUCAGAAAUGGAAAAUUAAUGCAAAGGCCAUUUGGGCACAGAUUCUUGAGAGAUGGCAUACCUAACUUUGGUUUCCUGUGCGGUGCACAAAUUCUCAAAUUGUUUGGGGAAAAAAUGGGGACAAUCAUUUCCAAUAAGAAAAAAAAAAAAGUAAAUAAAGACUAAAAGCAGCUUAAUUAAACCUAAUUAUCUCAUGUAGACAGAAAUAUUCAAAACAUGAGCCAAGACUUUAUUGUUACUUUUUUUUUUUUUCCCACUGUACAGCAAGGGGGUCAGGUUAUCCUUACAUGUAUACAUUACAAUUACAGUUUUUCCCCCACCCUUUGUUCUGUUGCAACAUGAGUAUCUAGACAUAGUUCUCAAUGCUAUUUUGUUACCUAUUUUAAUGAGAAAACGUUCAUGUGCCUAGAGUUAUAAAUACAAAUGUUAUGACAUCAGCAAUAGGGAACUAGCUAAUGAGAGAAGUGCUUUGAUUCAUUAUGUAAAAAUACCCCACAUAUCAAGGGAUUUCACAUUUCAAAACAUUAAGUUUUUUAAGUUUUUGGAUGAGAAGAAAAUAGAGAAUAAAUAACUUAUUUCUGCAACCACAUCUUUCUCGACCUUAUAAUGGGAAGCUAGCUAUUUAGCUUUGCAAGAGAAACUGGCCAAGUCCAUCAGGUCAAUAUACUGUCCCAUAACAUGCAAACUGAUAACUGCUGGCAGAAACCUUUCGGAAUAAGAGACUCAAAGCUUCUGAAUAAGGAAGCAAUGGUAAUUUACCAGAAAAACACACACAUGCAUAUACACCAUGAGCUAUACAUUAGUAAAUGAAAGCAUAGAUUUGGAAAUUAUGUUUAUAAAUUUGAAAGUAAAUAAAAAGGCAACUUAGCAAUUUAGGAAAUGGUUAUAAAAAUGAAGCCAUGCAUGCAAAACUUAUUAAUGUUCUUUUAAUAGUUUUCUGAGGUAAUAAGAACUAUGAUGGGGUAAUCAGUUGGAGUUACCUGGUUUUUAAUCUACUUUCUUCUCCUGGGCACCCUGUACCAUAUGUUCCUAAAAUUUUUCCAUUAGUGGCUCAUUGACAAAUGGGACAGAAACAGUAUUCUAAGGCUGGAGUUUCAAGAAAAAGACAUCCAAUGGCAACAUUUAGAUGGUAUGUGGUUUACCACAGAUUACAUAAUGACAAAAAGUGGCCAUCAGGAAUAAAAUUGCAGCUCCUGUAAGCAAUUGCAUUAGUGAGGCAGGUGCUACAUAAAUGAUAACAAGUAAUGGCAACAGUAAUAACAAAAAAUGCCUUAUGUUUAUCUAGUGCCUUCCUUCUAAAGCAUUCAACACUACCAACAGGAAUGAGCCAACUGCUCCUCUAAGGUUUUAGAGGUUGCGGGCAGUGAUAUUUCUUUUUUCAGUAUCUGAAUUAUAGAAAGGCUUAUCAAAGAAUCAUAAAGCAAGAAGGGAUUCUGGGAGAUUAUCUACAGCAAGCCCACUACUUCUAAAGCAGAUGUGCCCCUCCGCAUGCCUCCUAAGAAUUUUCUGGGGAAGAGUAAAAAUUCCCCAAUCCAGGGACUCAUACCCUUCAUAGACAGUGUGAAGAACUUCUUCCAGAAGGACAACUGCAAAUUCAGAUUAUAUCCAUGGUGGGAUCGAGGGAACGCUUUCACGCUUAUUAAUCUAUAUCACAAUUUCCUUUCCUACAAUGAAAACUGCUAUGUCACCUAAAAGAGGGGGAAACUCCGAAUUCUUAAAUCAUCACCAUCUAUACAGAUAUUACAGUGAGCUUUCAGAGAGAACCUAUGUCUGAGACAAUGGCUUUUCCUCUUCUUGAUUAACAGGUACUAUGACUGCCUGUCUUCAGUUAAAUCAGUGAAGAAUAGAAGGCAACUGAGAUCCAAAACUCUGUGACAGGGGAGUUAAGUUCAUUUGAAAGUUCAGACAUUGGCAGCUAUGCAAAAUGGAAAGAUACAGCCCAGGGGAUAAGGUUAAGGACAAAAUGAGAUACAGGAGAGAUGGUUAUUUGCAUCAGAUACCAGCUGGCAACAAUAAAAGAAAAAAACUCUUACCUAAUCAAAGCAUCACAGUGCUUAAAGUAGGUCAGAGUACAGAAUGGUUUGAUUCCCAUUUCCAUGCAGGGUAGGACACUCUGCCACUGCCUCCUGUCCUACUCUUUGUAAUUAUAAGAUGAUGAGCUGCUUGUGGGCAUAAAUAUAAAAUUGUCCUUUUCUAGAGUAAUGGAGGAAAGCCACAUCUUAAGUAUGUCAUGGGUACAAGACACACAGGUAAACGAUAAAGACAAUUAAGUACACAUUUCCAGAACCGAGAAUGCCGGAGCAGAAUCAGUUUAUAUUAAAAACAUUCUGGAUGAAGAAUACGAAAAGAAAAGAAAAACAUACACAUGUAGCCAUUUCACCGAGGCAAGUGAGCGACCCUUUCCUCAUACAUAUAUCAUGUAUCCCAAAAGAAAAUUCAAGCUCCUUGAGAGCAUGGAUACAAUUUUUUAAUAUAUAUUAUCAAUUCAACCAUAGGGGGCAAAAAAAGAAAAAAGGACUAAGAGCAAAAGAUUUUAAGGAGAGGAAAGGAGGUCUUUGUUAAGCUAUGGAUGCAGAGAAAACUGUUUAACAGCAAAUAAAGGAACACAACUGUACACCAGCUAACAUUUUGGUUCUCCCAUGAAGGAUGAUCCAUCAUUUAGG
RNAcentral lists this long non-coding RNA (4762 nucleotides) under Sus scrofa (pig). RNAcentral describes it as "lncRNA (ENSSSCG00005010253.1)". Lineage: Eukaryota; Metazoa; Chordata; Mammalia; Artiodactyla; Suidae. The record is from RNAcentral.